GAUGAAGAACGUAGCGAAAUGCGAUAAGUAAUGUGAAUUGCAGAAUUCAGUGAAUCAUCGAAUCUUUGAACGCACAUUGCGCCCGCCAGUAUUCUGGCGGACAUGCCUGUUCGAGCGUCAUUUCAACCCUCAGGCCCCCAGUGCCUGGUGUUGGGGAUCGGCCCAGCCUUCCUGUAAGGCCGCCGGCCCCGAAAUCUAGUGGCGGUCUCGCUGUAGUCCUCCUCUGCGUAGUAGCACAACCUCGCAGUUGGAACGCGGCGGUGGCCAUGCCGUUAAACACCCCACUUCUGAAAGUUGACCUCGGAUCAGGUAGGAAUACCCGCUGAACUUAAGCAUAUCAAUAAGCGGAGGA
Molecule: unclassified non-coding RNA, 352 nt
Filed under: soil metagenome
Description: partial contains 5.8S ribosomal RNA, internal transcribed spacer 2, and large subunit ribosomal RNA
Rfam family: 5.8S ribosomal RNA (bases 1-120)
Source: RNAcentral